RNAcentral lists this transfer RNA (88 nucleotides) under Aeromonas salmonicida subsp. salmonicida. RNAcentral describes it as "tRNA-Ser". It matches the Rfam family "tRNA". From Rfam's summary of the family: Transfer RNA (tRNA) molecules are approximately 80 nucleotides in length. Their secondary structure includes four short double-helical elements and three loops (D, anti-codon, and T loops). Further hydrogen bonds mediate the characteristic L-shaped molecular structure. tRNAs have two regions of fundamental functional importance: the anti-codon, which is responsible for specific mRNA codon recognition, and the 3' end, to which the tRNAs corresponding amino acid is attached (by aminoacyl-tRNA synthetases). tRNAs cope with the degeneracy of the genetic code in two manners: having more than one tRNA (with a specific anti-codon) for a particular amino acid; and 'wobble' base-pairing, i.e. permitting non-standard base-pairing at the 3rd anti-codon position. The record is from RNAcentral. Lineage: Bacteria; Pseudomonadati; Pseudomonadota; Gammaproteobacteria; Aeromonadales; Aeromonadaceae.
GGUGAGGUGUCCGAGUGGCUGAAGGAGCACGCCUGGAAAGUAUGUAUACGGCAACGUAUCGAGGGUUCGAAUCCCUCCCUCACCGCCA